RNAcentral lists this ribosomal RNA (253 nucleotides) under uncultured bacterium. Its description in RNAcentral is "partial 16S ribosomal RNA". It matches the Rfam family "Bacterial small subunit ribosomal RNA", at positions 524 to 776 of the family's 1533-position model. The record is from RNAcentral.
UACGAAGGGGGCUAGCGUUGUUCGGAAUUACUGGGCGUAAAGGGCGCGUAGGCUGUGCUGUAAGUCAGGCGUGAAAGCCCUGGGCUCAACCUAGGAAGUGCAUUCGAAACUGCAGGGCUGGAGUCCUGGAGAGGAAGGCGGAAUUCUCGGUGUAGAGGUGAAAUUCGUAGAUAUCGAGAGGAACACCGGUGGCGAAGGCGGCCUUCUGGACAGUGACUGACGCUGAGACGCGAAAGCGUGGGGAGCAAACAGG